Molecule: long non-coding RNA, 829 nt
Filed under: Cercocebus atys (sooty mangabey)
Lineage: Eukaryota; Metazoa; Chordata; Mammalia; Primates; Cercopithecidae
Description: lncRNA (ENSCATG00000045634.1)
Source: RNAcentral
CAACCAUUUGAGGCAGACCAUUGAGGUUUCUGCCAUCGGCAAUCUUUUCAUAUUUUUCUAUUCAUUUUGAUCAAAGUGCUUCUUAGUGGAAUGGUUGAAAUGAAACAACCACAAAGACUUAUGUGCAAAACGUGGAAGGAGACAAUGAGGGUCUGAUAUUCUUAAAUAUGUCUCUGCAACUCUGCAGGCAAAAAAGUAGGUCCUGCCUCUGGGAUAGUAGGACCUCUGCGGGUUCAAAGUUCCAGCUCAAGGUAUAAAGGAUGAAGUUGUAGGGCAGGAAGUCUUAUGACACUCAGAACAGCUACUCAAUGGAAAUCACAAACAGAAUGAGUUUCAUCCACAUGUCAAGACACUACUACCAACAAAGCUACUAAAUACCUAGCUGUCUCUUCCACUUAAGCAAGUGUUUCCAAACCUGUCCCGAGGCAGAGAUGACCCUAAAGAGCCCCUCAGGAGCACUUAUUUGUGGUUUCGAGACUGAAGGCUGGCUGUGCAACUUUGGGAAAGAGAUGGAUUCAAUGGUGCUCACUUUCCUUUGGAUCUCUGCAAAACUACAUACCUACUCAACAUGUUUUUGGAUAGAAUUUCAGUAUGGUGCAUUCCAUGCCUCAGAAGUGGAGCAGUAUGUGGCAUGAAUGAAUAGAACCUCUGCCUUCCACAUUGGGAAAGCCAAGGCACCUCCUUCCUCACUCUCUUCCACCACACCAUGAUAGACCUGGGUCAGGUCGACCAUCUGGACAGUGCUUCAGGUAAAUCAUCCAAUGGGAGACUGAGGUAUUGAGAAGGCACUUGGCAAACCACCUACUAUCCUUGCUGUGACUAUUCCUAG